UUAUACAACGGAGAGUUUGAUCCUGGCUCAGGAUGAACGCUAGCGGCAGGCCUAACACAUGCAAGUCGAGGGGCAGCACAAAGAUAGUUUACUAUUUUGGUGGCGACCGGCGCACGGGUGAGUAACGCGUAUGCAACCUACCUUAUACAGGAGUAUAGCCCGAAGAAAUUCGGAUUAAUCCUCCAUAGUAUUUUCUAAUGGCAUCAUUUGGAAAAUUAAAGCUUCGGCGGUAUAAGAUGGGCAUGCGUCCUAUUAGCUAGAUGGUAAGGUAACGGCUUACCAUGGCAACGAUAGGUAGGGGGCCUGAGAGGGUGAUCCCCCACACUGGUACUGAGACACGGACCAGACUCCUACGGGAGGCAGCAGUGAGGAAUAUUGGGCAAUGGAGGCAACUCUGACCCAGCCAUGCCGCGUGCAGGAAGAAUGCCCUAUGGGUUGUAAACUGCUUUUAUUUAGGAAUAAACCCUUCUACGUGUAGAAGGCUGAAUGUACUAAACGAAUAAGCACCGGCUAACUCCGUGCCAGCAGCCGCGGUAAUACGGAGGGUGCAAGCGUUAUCCGGAAUCAUUGGGUUUAAAGGGUCCGCAGGCGGACGUAUAAGUCAGUGGUGAAAUCCUGCAGCUUAACUGCAGAACUGCCAUUGAUACUGUACGUCUUGAAUUCGGUCGAAGUGGGCGGAAUGUGUAGUGUAGCGGUGAAAUGCAUAGAUAUUACACAGAACACCGAUAGCGAAGGCAGCUCACUAGGCCUGGAUUGACGCUCAGGGACGAAAGCGUGGGGAUCAAACAGGAUUAGAUACCCUGGUAGUCCACGCUGUAAACGAUGAUUACUCGUUUUCGGCGAUAUACAGUCGGAGACUAAGCGAAAGUGAUAAGUAAUCCACCUGGGGAGUACGAUCGCAAGGUUGAAACUCAAAGGAAUUGACGGGGGCCCGCACAAGCGGUGGA
This 947-nucleotide ribosomal RNA is filed under the name Crocinitomicaceae bacterium TMED16. RNAcentral describes it as "bacterial SSU rRNA". It matches the Rfam family "Bacterial small subunit ribosomal RNA", at positions 1 to 936 of the family's 1533-position model. Lineage: Bacteria; Pseudomonadati; Bacteroidota; Flavobacteriia; Flavobacteriales; Crocinitomicaceae. The record is from RNAcentral.